ACAGUAAUAUUCUUUACUACUCCUACUACUAAUAAUAAUAUAAAAGGCAAUAACUUUAGCCUACCGAGGCUUUCAAACUCACAAUCAGAAAGGGCAAGAGGAGUUAGAGGUAUUUUAGAUGUAAUAAUUUGCAUUCGGCCAAGAUGUCACUGGUAUAUUUGAAAUAAAAGAGAUGAUUGAAAAAAAAGCAGGUUGCUUGCAACUGAACACGCCGCAUACUGCAAAAAUGUUACAUUUAGGCUAAAAACAACAAGCGCUACUUAAGGUAGGAAAAAGCGGGGGUUUUAAACGUGGAAGUGGCCAUGAAGUGGCAAGACUUCACGCACAGCAGGACAAACUUCACUAAGCCCUGGUCUACAGCGCGAGACUAAACUACAACGCGCCGCGCGCACACGCUGCCAUGACGUCGCGCGCUCGCGGGGUCGGUGAAUAUAAUUAUCAAAAGGCCGUAAAACGUGGAGCUGCGUGGGUGGCGGGGUGCAACCGGUGAGAAAGUCGUGAUGCGAGAGCAACGACCGGGACCGGGGGAGAGAAAGCGGGAGAGUCUCAACAUGGAUUCCCAAACGUGCCACAAUAGGCCUCCCGAACACGGCUACUGAAACUUCCUGUAGUUGGCGGGACGGUAGCAACUUCACGAGCGCGCACCGGACAAGUAGAUACAUGUUAGCAAACGAACACUCGCGGCAAGUAUGCAAACAGCGAAUAAAGUGAACUCAAACUACAAGAAAGCAUGCAUCGUGAAAGUUCUUUUACUUGACUGGAUAUUAGAGCACAGCCCUGCGUUAUUGGGCUCCGCCGCUCUUCGCGAGCUUAAAGGUCUGCGUUUUAAAACCCUAGGAACUGCGGAAAAUGUAAAGUGGUCCGUUUGUAAACAAAGUAAGAUGAUAAUUAAACAGUCCGGUGGGAAAGAGGGGCUUCCAUUUUGAAUGUGCCAUGCUACUGCUAGAGGCGCGGAGUGCGAGGAGGAACACUUUGGGGGGGAAAAGGGGCAUUUAACGUUUUGCGGGGAUUUCAGGGCAUCGAUUUAGUUUCCAAGAACGACAGGAGUGCGAGCUGCUGUUUUGAAGGUGUAGCCAUUCAACAGGUUCAGCGCUGACAGGACUGGACGAAACCGAAAUGAAGCGGUCGGUAUAACCUACAGCUCUCGCAAAUCUGCCGGUUUCCCACAAACACAGAAAACGCUGGAGUGACCGGAAAAACACUGUGGUCAAAGCUGGUUUUCGCACAAGAGUAAUAGGAUUACCACACACUGCUCUGCCAAGGACAGAGACUGGAGGGGGAGACAGGAGGAGAGGUUAAAGAGGGGAGGAAGAGAGAGAGAGAGAGAGAGGGAAACGAAGAGUACAAGUUGAAGAACAGAAUACCCUGUCGUUGCGCACCCAACCUGAAGCCCCUCGGAGUAACAGGACUGUGAUAUUUGAGGAGCGACAGAGAGGCAUGUCUCGCUCUAUGUCACUUGCUAUAUUAAGCACACAGUGUGUGUUCAUGGUGUCUCCAGUAUCUUGCUUAGGAUCAAACUCUUCCUAUUGGCACAGUGCUCUGUUUCCACUACUGAAGCUGCCAUACCUUCAUUCCAGCGCAAUGGAUCUGUAUCCGGUACAGCUGUCAUUUUAGAGGCGUGGAGCUAAUCAGAGGUCCGAUUUAGCAGCAUGACGGGCCUAAAGUGGGGUCACCACAGCGCUGCCGCUCACUGCUGCUGAUAGCACACCAGCUGCUGAACUUCAUGUAAUUCAAGCGCCGUCUCAAAUCACUACAUGACAUUUCACCGACAGAUGCACAAAAAAGACUUCUGUUUUACGGAUACUCCAGAUUCCUAUCAAACCUUUGGAACUUAUGUUGUAAUCGGCUAUACAGGAUUUUACGCAUUAAAUGUCCCUGCACAGUCAGGUCAGUUGAGGCGGCAAACAGAAUUUGCGUGUAGGAAGUAGUAUUGAAAUUAACUGUAAUUCAAAGAAACGUACUGCCAUUAACUGCCAUUUUACACUUCAAGUCACAUUCAAGUAAAAAAUGCACGAAUGACUCAAUGCAUGUCAAAUUAUCUGUAAGAAGAGACGAAGCAAUAGUGACCACGUAAUAAAUACUCACAAUUGUCGGAUCCAAUAUAAUCGGCACAG
Puntigrus tetrazona (Sumatra barb) is the source of this 2114-nucleotide long non-coding RNA. RefSeq lists it as uncharacterized. The record is from RefSeq and is a predicted model, not a curated record. NCBI's taxonomy places the organism in Eukaryota, Metazoa, Chordata, Actinopteri, Cypriniformes, Cyprinidae. The transcript is spliced from 3 exons.